AACGAACGCUGGCGGCAUGCUUAACACAUGCAAGUCGAACGAAGGCCCGGAGCUUGCUCCGGUCACCUUAGUGGCGGACGGGUGAGUAACGCGUGGGAACCUACCUAGGAGCGGGGAAUAACCAUUGGAAACGAUGGCUAAUACCGCAUACGCUCUACGGAGGAAAGGCUUCGGCCACACCUAGAUGGUCCCGCGUCGGAUUAGCUUGUUGGUAAGGUAACGGCUUACCAAGGCGACGAUCCGUAGCUGGUCUGAGAGGAUGAUCAGCCACACUGGGACUGAGACACGGCCCAG
Molecule: ribosomal RNA, 294 nt
Filed under: uncultured bacterium
Lineage: Bacteria
Description: partial 16S ribosomal RNA
Rfam family: Bacterial small subunit ribosomal RNA
Source: RNAcentral